UUGUAUUUUUAACAUUUUAGGGGAGAGUGAACUUAGUGAGAGGAGGCUCUCCCCUGGAAAGUUUUAUAUUGUUGUUGUCCUGAAGAACAGAUUUGCGGAUACAAUUUUAUAAGUUCGAGAGAAGACACUUGUUGAGGUCGAGAAUGGUGAUCCGGAGAAACUUCAUCGUGAAAGGGAACAACUUGAGAUGCAGAGGAGGAAAGCGAAAGCUAAGCUGUAAGCCGGAGACAAAGCUGCUGAAGAGGCUCAAAGACGUGCAGAAGUGGAAGUUGCAGCUGAGGCUAAGAGGAGGAGAGAGCGCGAUAGAGAAGCAGCAAGACAGGCAUUACUCCAGGUGAGUAUUAAAAGAUAUAUAU
Long non-coding RNA from Capsicum annuum, 356 nucleotides. RefSeq lists it as uncharacterized. The record is from RefSeq and is a predicted model, not a curated record. NCBI's taxonomy places the organism in Eukaryota, Viridiplantae, Streptophyta, Magnoliopsida, Solanales, Solanaceae. The transcript has 3 exons.